Oncorhynchus tshawytscha (Chinook salmon) is the source of this 2906-nucleotide long non-coding RNA. RefSeq lists it as uncharacterized. The transcript has 3 exons. Lineage: Eukaryota; Metazoa; Chordata; Actinopteri; Salmoniformes; Salmonidae. The record is from RefSeq and is a predicted model, not a curated record.
CCCCUUGGCCCUAACCCCUUGAUGUUAGCAUGUCUGUCGGGUCUUAAUAGGUAUAAGCAGUGUCAGCAUUCUCCAACCCUGUUCCUGGAGAGCUACCUUGCUGUAGGCCUUCACUCCAACCCUAGUUGUAACUAACCUGAUUCAGCCUAUCAACUAGCUAAUUAUUAGAAUCAGGUGUGCUAGAUUAGGGUUGGAGCAAAAAACUACAGGAAGGUAUCUUUCCAAGAACAGCGUUGGUGUGAACCUACAGGACGGUAGCUCUCCAAGAACAGCGUCGGAGAGCCCUGAGCAGUGUAGUACUACAACGUCCACCAUAUUGCUCCUAUCUAAUAGAUCUCGGCCAAGGGGAAGGGUAGGGGUUGAAUCGGGUCCUGCUCUAGGAUGGCCGGGCCCCGCUGGGGAUGUAUGCCUCAGCCCUGCCUCCAUGGACUGGGUCCCAAUUUACCCAGAGACUUGCUGCACCCAAAGAAUGCCCCCACCCCCCGACUCCCAGCUUAAUGUACUCAUCCCUCAUAUAGCCGUUUUUUUAAUGUUAUUUUAUUUAACCUUUAUUUAACUAGGCAAGUUUUCUGGUCACUCAUUUCAUCCUCUCACCCACACUUCACUAUCUCCUUGUGUCCUCGGGGACCUGCCAUUUGUCUUAAUUGAAGCUUCCUGCCAAGUGCCAUUUUGCCAUGAGAGAAUUGAGCUGCAAAACAAUCAUUGAAUGGAGAAGUAUUACAGGAGUGGCUUCAUAGGUGCCUUUUUGAUGGAUGAAGAUGUGUGGCAACUAAGGCAACCAUGUUAGCUCAAGGGCAGAACUUUUAUCCGCUACAUGUCACUCAUUCUGUAACGACAGUGGGAUUCAUGUUGUCUCUGGUGCUGUCUUAGUUUCAAUUUCCUGUUUACCAAAGGACUUUCGGUACACACCUUGCCAAGUUUGAUCUGGGGAUGUUUUAUUCAGGUGAAAGGUUGAAGAAGCAUUUAAUUAAAGUGUGACAAAAUGAAUCUACUGGCAUUGUUUAGCAAUGUGUUUUUCAAGAUUAAGGUUAUAUGACAAAGAGCAUUUGACAGUUUUUCAGGCCAGCAGUCCAAGCUAUGUCUGUAGAAUGUAUACAUCCAAAAAUGUGCGAUUACAAAAAAAAAAAACAUUUUCACAUGCCAGCAAUUGGUCCUGUCUGUUCAAAUAGUUGAAAGCAACUCGGGAUUUUGUCUUGAUUGAAUGUGGUGUUUUUGUACUAGACAGAUUGUGAAUAUGUCACACAGGAGAACAUAAUAUAUUAAUGUACAAUCACAGCGCUACACACUUUGUACCUUUUUUAAGUUAUUGACAACUUUGACUUUUGGGUUGCUCAAUAUGACAUCUGUGCAGAUGUGAAAAUAUGUGCCUUAUAACAUUUGACAAUUCCUCUUUUUCAGUUAAUAAAGAACUGAAAACUGUUUGUUGCUCGAGUCCCCUCAAACUCGAUUCUGGACCUCGAAGCCAGUUUUUUUUUUCAAUUGUUCCCCUCUAUUCAGGGACAGGUUUAGACCUGGGACACCUGGUGGGUGAAAUGACCUCCUAGGGUAAGAGUUGAAUACCCCUGCUCUAGUCUAUUUGGUGUAAUUGUGUACCUUUGACCCAUAUGCAGUAAUGCAGGCAGCCCAGUGGAUCAGUAGUGUCACCUGGCAUCCUCUAGGGACACUAAAGAGCAGUGUCCCUACUGUCCCCUAGGCGUACUGUAUGUCUGUGUUGGCCCCUGCCCCUGUUGCCCAAAGUCUGACUUGCUUUGGAUGAGGAAUGGUUGGAUUUUGCUCUGUCCUGUAAUAUAUAAUCUGAGAGUGUGCAGGCAAGGAUGAACAAGGGAAAGAACAUGAUCUAAGAUUGAUUGCUCCUUAGAACUUCAGAUGGAGCACUUAAAAAGGGAACCAUGAAGAGAAGCUUGGAGUGGGCAAGGGAGAGGCUAAUAAAGCAGCAGAGGAGACCUGAUUCAUCAAGUAUCAAUUAAUUUAGACACUUCAAUCUGACACUCUUGUUAAUGUUUGACGUCAGGCAAAACAUCUUCAGCCACCGUAGGACGGAGAGCCGCUGGUUGGCAUUUGACUGCAGUGUCUGUCUGGGUGUACCAGGAAAGGACGUUAGUAGUUAUAUAUCAAAGAUAUCAAAGCUUCUUACCGUCUCCACUGCAGCUUAGUCGUUAUCGAUAAAAUAAACUGGAACAAUGGAUUGUACGACAUUAUGUACAACUCCAGUUUGCCUAUUGCCCCAACUAAUGUCAAUUAGACAUUUUUACAUACGUCAAGAGUGCAUUUUCUUUUAUAGCUUUGCGUUCAACACCAUCCUUACCCACAAACUGGUUAGCAGGCUCUGGGUGUAAAUCCUGUAAUAAAUUAGAUUUUUUACAUUAUAAGAAUGUGUAUCCCCAGAAUGGACCUGACACUACCAUGGUACACAUGAGUACAUGAAGGAGCUGUGAGACUUGACAAUAGUGAUAGGACAAGUUUCAGCAUAAGCAAAACAAAGUAGAUGGUGAUACUUGACCAUUCUCCCAUCUACUGUACAUUGACAUGGAGAUGAUCAGCAGCUGCAAGUUCCUGGGCACCCUGAUAUCCUUUUCUGCCCUCAGUUACUUCACUCAAAGUCCCACUUGUGCUUCUCCACUAACCUCAAACUUGCUGCACCACGACCUAUGUACCAACUACAGUGUCUUGUAUUGCCAUAACACAUGUAAAGGAAAUGUCCAUAUUUACUGUAAGAUUUACUUAUGGUAACAUUGCACAUAUUGUAGUCCCUUGACAUACAUGACUUAACUACUUUGCAUAAUGCUCAGUUUACCCACUAAAAUCAUAAAUGUAUUUAAAUAUUAAAGCUGCAUUAUGUAAUACUGUGUCCAAUUGAUUCUGAUUGGUUGUAAUGUUUUUGAAAACUUUCACUACAACAUUUUUUU